Long non-coding RNA from Pteropus alecto (black flying fox), 425 nucleotides. RefSeq lists it as uncharacterized. The record is from RefSeq and is a predicted model, not a curated record. Lineage: Eukaryota; Metazoa; Chordata; Mammalia; Chiroptera; Pteropodidae. The transcript is spliced from 3 exons.
CACUGUCCUGCAGGUUGAGACUUCUGUGGAAAGGUGAACAGGGACUAGAAAAGCAGUCAGUCCCGCUCAGAGGAUUGCACGAGAGAGGCACAAAAAAGAACCACAUUCAGGAGGAUGAUUAACUUUACCCUGAAGAAUAAACAGCCUCAUUCACAUGACAGAGAGAGACAAGCAGCAACCACUAUGACCGUGACUUCCUCCCAGGGCUCUGAGAUCUGGACCGGGAACCUUAGAGUGAAGAGAACAGCAUCAGGAGUCUUUGCAUGUGCAAGUAGUAAACAUGGAAGCCUUUGCUUUCUGUGAGUCUACUUCAGGGCCCCACAAUUGUUUUGAGUCAUCUGUAAAUACACACCUUUUAACUCUCGACUCACUAAUUCAAACCUGUAAGCUUCUUAUUUUAAGAAAGUAUGGCUUUUUCAUUUUUU